CCGAUGAGGUGGAAACGGACAGAGCUGGCGUAUCUGGCCUGCAUUCAGCCGCCGCGCGUCGGGCCCCGGUUUGCCGCACUCCAGAUUGGGAAGGUGGCUGGGCUGCUGGCGUGUCGGUGGUGCAUUUGCAGGUGGAGUGCGCCGAGGCGCUCGGCUCAGCGGCAUGAGCUCGGCUUUGAGGCCAGUCGCGCAAGCGGUCUGGUACCCGGGUCGGGGGAGUGUUGUUUGGGCUGAGUGUUCGCUUGGGCACCGGUUUCGGGCCCGGGUGGGUGCCGAGCUGGCGGUGGACGGCGGUCGCGUGCGACACGUGUCUUCAGUCAGUUCGGUCCUGCUCGAGCUCUCGCGUGUCCGGCCUCGGUGUAAAAGCCGGUCAUCUGUCCGACCCGUCUUGAAACACGGACCAAGGAGUUUAGCGUGUGCGCGAGUCAUUGGGCGUUGAAAACCCAAAGGCGCAAUGAAAGUGAAGGUCUGCCUUGUGCAGCUGAUGUGUGAUCCUGGGCGCCGCGGUGCCCGGGCGCAACAUAGUCCCGUCCCGACUGCAUGCAGUGGGGCGGAGACAGAGCGUACGCGCUGAG
This 575-nucleotide ribosomal RNA is filed under the name Helicotylenchus pseudorobustus. Its description in RNAcentral is "partial large subunit ribosomal RNA". The stretch from base 400 to 575 matches the Rfam family "Eukaryotic large subunit ribosomal RNA", at positions 665 to 813 of the family's 3401-position model. RNAcentral also lists the same sequence under 1 other name. Lineage: Eukaryota; Metazoa; Nematoda; Chromadorea; Rhabditida; Hoplolaimidae. The record is from RNAcentral.